GAAAAAUAAAUAUGGAUGGACAUUAAAACUUUGCUAAAACAACAAAGCUAGUGAUGGUGGCCUAAGACACUUGCAAAGUAAUGUAUAUUGACCAAGAGUUGGAAUGAUCAAGAAAAAUGCAUGUUGUCUAUCCAUAUUUUCUUUAAAUGCACAUUUAUUCACAAUUCAGUAGGACAGUAAAUUAUCUAAGGGUAAAAUCAUUAUUGAAGGUGAUUUAAUUGUCACUGCAUUCAUUGUUACAUGAUUUUAAACAGUGGGAAUCAUUGUGUAAGUUUCUUAAUAAUAUCAAAUAGUUCUUUUUUGUCUUGUUGUUUCUAGACCUGAAGAUAAGAUUUCCAGUUUAAAAGUGAAGAAAAUGAAUCAUUAUUAACAGCAAUUAGGAGUAUUUCUCAGCUGAAAAGCCAGUUUAUGCACAAUCACAAAUGCAGCACAUCAAUCAAUUUCUUCCAACCAGCGAAUCAAGAAAUCUUGGAGUGGAGAAUCAUUCUGAAAGUAGACCAAAUCCAGGACAACAUCACAGCAGUGGUCGGAAAAAUGCAGCAAGCCAAGCUGACUUUCAAAAGAUGAUUCGUUAUCUGUUUCUUCAGAGGGGAGGCAGUUUGGGAGAUGGGAAUUAGGAGGAUGCUACAGUUACACAGGGCGAAUUUCAGCAGCUCAGUUUCAAACUUGCAACUAACAAUGAAUUAUACUGGUCAGGGUGGAAGACCAUCUGACGUACCAGUUUUGCCAGGUUGAAGAACCAGCUUAAACCAGCUAAGACAGCCAACCAACUUAGCCAAGGUGGUAUAUGCUGGUGGGUCAGCUGGUCUUCCCGCCUGACCAGCUACAAAGUGGCCAAAACCUCUGUAAAACAAUCCUGCUACACCAGCCUGACCAGCUGAAACCAUACUGGGAGUAUUCAUAUUCAUAUCGAUUUGCAUUUACACAUAAAAUAGGUAACAUACAGUACUGUGCAAAAGUCUUAGGCCACCAUCUCCAGCUUUGUUGUUUUAGCAAAAAUUUAAUGUCCAUCCAUAUUUAUUUUUCACUCUUUUUAUUAAGAUACAAACAGAAAAUACAGGAAAUAUGUACACAAAAUUAAAAACAAAACAAUUUUCAGAACUAAAUGUCGUCUUCAGACAUCAGUCAGUAUUUAGUGUGAAUUCUUUUGGCACAAAACACAUCUUGAGCUUUUUUGAGGAGACUGAAGUCAUUCGAUUAGAAUUAGAAAGGAUUUAAUUGUAUUUAUGUGUAAGAGAUCCUGCAGUUGCCUGCUAUUGCUCAAGUUGAAAGGGAGUUUACCCUAAAUAAUUGAAACUUCAGCUUAAACUUUUAUACUGUUUUUAAUACUACAUACACAUUUCCUGUAUUUUCUGGUUGUAUUCUAAUAAAGAGACUGAGAAAUAAAUAUAUGAUCACUACACAACUGCAAAAACAACUAAUCUAAUGGUAGCAUGCAGACUUUUGCACAGUACUGUAUGUCCACAUUUAGCCACCUUUACUUUGAGUGAACUGUAACAGCAACUAUAAUGCCAUAAACAUUAAAUACUAAGGUAAAAGAGAGUUGUGGAUGCUUUCUAGUUUUAGCAAAGAA
Molecule: non-coding RNA, 1573 nt
Organism: Misgurnus anguillicaudatus (oriental weatherfish)
Lineage: Eukaryota; Metazoa; Chordata; Actinopteri; Cypriniformes; Cobitidae
Source: RefSeq, a predicted model, not a curated record